AUCCAGCUGAUGAUUCACAAAUAGGACGAAACGCGCGUCCUGGAU
This is a non-coding RNA of Schistosoma rodhaini, 45 nucleotides long. The record is from Rfam. NCBI's taxonomy places the organism in Eukaryota, Metazoa, Platyhelminthes, Trematoda, Strigeidida, Schistosomatidae.